This 440-nucleotide ribosomal RNA is filed under the name uncultured bacterium. RNAcentral's name for it is "partial 16S ribosomal RNA". It matches the Rfam family "Bacterial small subunit ribosomal RNA", at positions 338 to 795 of the family's 1533-position model. The record is from RNAcentral.
CCUACGGGUGGCAGCAGUAGGGAAUAUUGCUCAAUGGGGGAAACCCUGAAGCAGCAACGCCGCGUGGAGGAUGAAGGCUUUCGGAGUGUAAAACCCUUUUGUUAGGGAAGAAAAUGACGGUAUCUAACGAAUAAGCACCGGCUAACUCCGUGCCAGCAGCCGCGGUAAUACGGAGGGUGCAAGCGUUAUUCGGAAUUACUGGGCGUAAAGAGCGCGUAGGCGGGAUAGCAAGUCAGAUGUGAAAUCCUCGGGCUUAACCCUAGAACUGCAGUUGAAACUGUUGCUCUAGAGUAUGGGAGAGGUAGGUGGAAUUCUUGGUGUAGCGGUGAAAUGCGUAGAGAUCAAGAGGAACACUCAUUGCGAAGGCGGCCUGCUGGAGCAUAACUGACGCUGAUGCGCGAAAGCGUGGGGAGCGAACAGGAUUAGAUACCCUAGUAGUC